Molecule: ribosomal RNA, 353 nt
Filed under: uncultured soil bacterium
Lineage: Bacteria
Description: bacterial SSU rRNA
Rfam family: Bacterial small subunit ribosomal RNA
Source: RNAcentral
UAAUACAGCAUUAAGAACACGGUUCCGCAAGGGACAGGGUUCAAAGCCGGCUUUUUUCAUGAAAGCUGGCGCCAGGGGAUGAGCCUGCGGCCCAUCAGCUAGUUGGUAGGGUAAUGGCCUACCAAGGCGAAGACGGGUAGCUGGUCUGAGAGGAUGAUCAGCCACACUGGAACUGAGACACGGUCCAGACUCCUACGGGAGGCAGCAGUGGGGAAUCUUGCGCAAUGGGCGAAAGCCUGACGCAGCGACGCCGCGUGAGUGAUGAAGGCCUUCGGGUUGUAAAGCUCUGUGGAGAGGGACGAAUAAGUGUUGGCUAACAUCCAGCAUGAUGACGGUACCUCUUUAGCAAGCAC